UGGUCUAUGGUGAUAGGGCCCCUGUGCUGCCUGAGAUCUGAGGACCUGGUGACGGGAUGUGCUCUGGGAGUGGACAGGCCA
Molecule: non-coding RNA, 81 nt
Organism: Sorex fumeus (smoky shrew)
Lineage: Eukaryota; Metazoa; Chordata; Mammalia; Eulipotyphla; Soricidae
Product: small Cajal body-specific RNA 18
Exons: 1
Source: RefSeq, a predicted model, not a curated record